Molecule: ribosomal RNA, 253 nt
Filed under: uncultured bacterium
Lineage: Bacteria
Description: partial 16S ribosomal RNA
Rfam family: Bacterial small subunit ribosomal RNA
Source: RNAcentral
UACGAAGGGUGCUAGCGUUGUUCGGAAUUACUGGGCGUAAAGCGCGCGUAGGCGGCUAUCCAAGUCAGAGGUGAAAUCCCUGGGCUCAACCCAGGAAUUGCCUUUGAAACUGUAUAGCUUGAGUGUCGGAGGGGACAGCGGAAUUGCUAAUGUAGAGGUGAAAUUCGUAGAUAUUAGCAGGAACACCGGUGGCGAAGGCGGCUAUCUGGACGACAACUGACGCUGAGGCGCGAAAGCGUGGGUAGCAAACAGG